CUACAAGAUUCCUGAUUUGGACGGCUAUGUGAAGACACCUACAGAGACACCUACAUGCAAUAAGAGAGCAUCUGAGACCGAUGACGUGGUGCCUGCAAAAAAAGCAAAAACAGAGAAAGUUUUACCGACUAGAAAUUUGUCCGGCCUUGCAUGCAACAAGAAUUUCGGCUCAGCGAAGGCUCUCCAGGAACACAACAAAGCCAAACAUUAAGUGGUUAGGAUAGUAGUACGUUGACGAUUGCCUUUAAUUAGCUUUUUGGUAAUAAAAAAACAUUAAUGACUUUUGGUAACCCUCUAGAUAUGACUAUAUGGAAUUAUUGUAUUGUGUCUGUAAUGUCUUUAACAAUGGUUAUUAAUUUAUUAUAAUCUAAUCUGUAUUUCACAAUUGGGAUCAAAGGUUUGGUUACCACUUACCAAUCAAUUUAUAUUUUAUAAUCAGAGUGAUCAUCUUAUAAUACAAUUCCUUGUAUUGUUAUAAUGUCAUCUCAAAAUUAGCUCCCUUGCAACAGAUUAACACUAACUGAAUUUUUUGGUUUAAUGCAUAAUUUGAUCAUCA
Molecule: long non-coding RNA, 556 nt
Organism: Arabidopsis lyrata subsp. lyrata
Lineage: Eukaryota; Viridiplantae; Streptophyta; Magnoliopsida; Brassicales; Brassicaceae
Exons: 2
Source: RefSeq, a predicted model, not a curated record